This 253-nucleotide ribosomal RNA is filed under the name uncultured bacterium. RNAcentral's name for it is "partial 16S ribosomal RNA". It matches the Rfam family "Bacterial small subunit ribosomal RNA", at positions 524 to 776 of the family's 1533-position model. The record is from RNAcentral.
GACAGAGGUGCCGAGCGUUAGGCGGAAUCACUGGGCUUAAAGCGUGUGUAGGCGGGUCGUUAAGUGUCUUGUGAAAUCCCACCGCUCACCGGUGGAACGGCUGGGCAUACUGGCGACCUUGAGAGGCCUAGGGGCAGACGGAACAAGCGGUGGAGCGGUGAAAUGCGUAGAUAUCGCUUGGAACGCCGACGGCGAAAGCAGUCUGCUGGGGGCCUUCUGACGCUGAGGCACGAGAGCGUGGGGAGCGAACCGG